Molecule: long non-coding RNA, 208 nt
Filed under: Nicotiana benthamiana
Lineage: Eukaryota; Viridiplantae; Streptophyta; Magnoliopsida; Solanales; Solanaceae
Description: long non-coding RNA (NBEN_LNC040980)
Source: RNAcentral
GGCAUCAAAAUCAAGAAACUUGCAUUCUAAAUUUAAAACAGAGGUUUCAAUAAAGUCGUCCAGACAUUGGGGUUCCGAAAUUGGCCCAACAAGAAUUAUAAACUCAGUCAGCUUAUGAAAAACUGCCCGGCAUUGAGCCUCAAUAUCAGUCCCAAAACGAGGAAAUUUAGUGAGGCUUUGUGAGAAGCUGCCUAGUCAUGGGCCUAUA